This 388-nucleotide ribosomal RNA is filed under the name uncultured bacterium. Its description in RNAcentral is "bacterial SSU rRNA". It matches the Rfam family "Bacterial small subunit ribosomal RNA", at positions 28 to 424 of the family's 1533-position model. The record is from RNAcentral.
GACGAACGCUGACGGCGUGCCUAACACAUGCAAGUCGAACGAAGACCAUAGAGGAGCUUGCUUUAAUAUGGUUUAGUGGCGGACGGGUGAGUAACGCGUGAGGACUUGUCGAGUACAGGGGGACAACAGGUGGAAACGUCUGCUAAUACCCCAUAAGCCUUCGGGUAAAGGAGCGAUCCGGUACACGAGAGACUCGCGUUCUAUCAGCUAGUAGGUGGGGUAACGGCCCACCCAGGCCAAGACGGAUAGCCGGACUGAGAGGUCGAUCGGCCACACUGGAACUGAGACACGGUCCAGACUCCUACGGGAGGCAGCAGUGGGGAAUAUUGCGCAAUGGGGGAAACCCGUGACGCAGCAAUACCGCGUGAGUGAAGAAGGUUUUCGGGUC